AUGAGUGGGAGAUCCAAACUGUUGUUGUUGCCAGCUUCAGUCUGCAGGGGGCAAAUAACUGAACUACUAAAGAGUCAUGCGUAUCACCCUGACGAGAGCGAAGGUGCAUCAGCAAGGGGGAAGAAGUAUACAGGGGAGAUAUGCAAGACAAUAGAGGUGGAGCUGGCCCUGAUGUACGACAUGCUGUACACCAAGGCACAAGUGAUCCACACAUGGUAUGGCUACUGCGCCCGUGCCAUUUCACUUGUUUCUUGCUUCGUCGCUCUUGUGGUCUUCACAAAGAGCAAAAGAGAUGGCUACAGCACACCCAACAUUGUUAUCACUUUUGCUCUUCUGGGCGGAGCUUGCGCACUGGAGAUCGCAUCUGUUUUCAAGGCGAUUGGGUCGACCUGGACUUGUUCCACCUUAAGAAACAGCAGAUGGUUUUUGCUGGCUAAUACAAUUCUGUUCGCACAUUACUACCUCGUCAAGGAUGGAAGGUGUUCCGAUUCUGCCGGGAAAUUUAACUUGAUAUCCUUCUGUGUUCACAGCAGAAAGAGUGGCCUCAAGGGAAGUAUAGCCCGUCUGAUUAGGCUCCGGGGCGUGUGGGACAAAGCUCGCUGCACCAAACAUCCCAAGCUUUCUCCUGCGGUGAAGAAGUUUGUAUGGGGCUUGCUCAGAGGUGGCAAGAGUGAUAUGGUACAAAUUGAAGAUGUGGCCAUCCAGAGUGGGUACUGGGCUCGCAGAUUCAGUGGCUUUGCCCAGAGCGAACAUCUCGAUUGGAGCAUGAGUUGUGAAUUUCAGAAGAGUGUGCUUAUUUGGCAUAUCGCCACAAGCACCUUGCUCAAUCACCCUGACGUCAAACCAGAGCUGGUCGACAAGGUUGAAGCAGUUAAUACUCUCAAUACUCUCUCUGAUUACAUGAUGUAUCUCCUCGUCGAGCACCCUAACAUUCUGCCUUCCAAAGCUGAUGCUCGUAGCCUGUUUCACCAUACCUGCAAGAGAUUGACUGAAUUUAUGAAUCAUGAUCCAACAGUGGAUGAGGUUUAUCAGACAAUUCUGGGUUACAAGGAAGAAAGGGGUCUUCGUGAGCAAUCAUUCACAUAUGAUUCCGCUGAUGCCGCGGGCAAAGCUGUGCUGGAGAAAGCAAAUACACUUGCUGGGUUAUUGCUCGACCUGAAGUUGGGGGCCUUGGGGGUCACAUAUAAGAUGGUAAUAAUUGGAAAGGUGUGGACGGAGAUGUUAUGCUACGCAGCAACCAAUGCAUCUGAGGGAUUCCAUGCCAGGCAGCUGAGCAAUGGUGGCGAGUUUCUGACCCACAUCCUGCUCCUCACUCAAUAUGCUGCUGCCAUGCACAAGCUACCAAAGCCGGUCAAAGUAGAUGAUUGGACUGUCGAGGCUAGUGCUGCUAGCGAUGCCAAGAUGGAUGUGGAGAAUGGCUGGAAGGAUGAGAUCACCGAAAGCUGCUGA
RNAcentral lists this ribosomal RNA (1449 nucleotides) under Triticum aestivum (bread wheat). Its description in RNAcentral is "partial small subunit ribosomal RNA". Lineage: Eukaryota; Viridiplantae; Streptophyta; Magnoliopsida; Poales; Poaceae. The record is from RNAcentral.